GAGCCGAGAAGUCUAUGUGCUGAAGAAAAACUCAUUCUCUACCAGACUGUUGAAAAUCUCCGUUCUGAUUUUGAAUGUAUCUAUGAAAACAGCAAAACAGAACUGAGAAGCCUUCCCAGGCACCCAGGCGGUGCUCUCCGCGCUCCUUAACUAUCUACAGGGAGUUCUGAGCUCUCCUCCCGUGCCACACGAGCCUGCAGAGGGCAACUGCCCUUUUGUAGUCAUCCCAGGCCCAGGCUGCUUCCAUCGCCCGUUCGGCCAAUUCUUACUGCAGCUUCAGCUCUGCAGUCAGGUCCAGCCUUCGAGAAAACCCGCAUCCUACAAGCACUGUCCUGUGCCCACAAGCGGAGCCGAGGCUCCAACCCGGCCUCUCCACUUCACCAUCAGGGACACCAGAAGGGCACCCAGCACUGCGAAAGAGCAGAGCCCUUAGAAACAGAGCAGUGGAAAUGAGUGACUUGAACGUUAGAAGUUAGGGCGCGAAAGUUUAAAUCCUACUUUCACCGCUGAUUUACCACGAGAUCCUAACUGAUGUGCUACGUUGUCUUCAGCCUUGUAUCCUGCAGCUGGAGAAGCCGAGCUGUCAUUCUGCAGUUCCUGGCAGAAGAAGCAUGAUAGGGUCUGGGACUGCCUGGUGAUGCCUGUCUACCAGCCAUGUCUGGAAGUUGGAGAGAUCACAUGGCCACAAGUGGGUGUCCUGCCUUGGACUUGUCUUGAUAAGAAUCCGAAGUUCCCGCAAACUACGACCAGUAAUGACGUCCCGGCCUCCGCUGUCAUCUCGCUGUUCACCAUCAAGUGCAAGCUCCCUGCCCAUUCCAUUCAUUCUGAUGUUAGUUCCCCUGGAUCUUUAUCCAUUUUCCUUGGUUGCUCGCCUCUGUUUAUGUAGCUUUUUAAAAUAUCUAUUUGUUCAUAUCUCCC
Molecule: long non-coding RNA, 918 nt
Filed under: Fukomys damarensis (Damara mole-rat)
Lineage: Eukaryota; Metazoa; Chordata; Mammalia; Rodentia; Bathyergidae
Description: lncRNA (ENSFDAG00000029618.1)
Source: RNAcentral